RNAcentral lists this ribosomal RNA (372 nucleotides) under uncultured organism. RNAcentral's name for it is "partial 16S ribosomal RNA". It matches the Rfam family "Bacterial small subunit ribosomal RNA", at positions 527 to 896 of the family's 1533-position model. The record is from RNAcentral.
GUAGGUGGCAAGCGUUGUCCGGAAUUAUUGGGCGUAGAGCGCGCGCAGGCGGUCCUUUAAGUCUGAUGUGAAAGCCCACGGCUCAACCGUGGAGGGUCAUUGGAAACUGGGGGACUUGAGUACAGAAGAGGAAAGCGGAAUUCCAAGUGUAGCGGUGAAAUGCGUAGAGAUUUGGAGGAACACCAGUGGCGAAGGCGGCUUUCUGGUCUGUAACUGACGCUGAGGCGCGAAAGCGUGGGGAGCAAACAGGGAUUAGAUACCCUGGUAGUCCACGCCGUAAACGAUGAGUGCUAAGUGUUAGGGGGUUUCCGCCCCCUUAGUGCUGCAGCUAACGCAUUAAGCACUCCGCCUGGGGAUACGGCCGCAAGGCUG